CCACUUCCAACAUGCAAGCAGGCUGGGCAGACACGGGAAGCACUGCCUGCAGCAGCACCAGCUGAGCUGUGUGUGCCAGAGGAAGGAAUGCGGUGUCUGGAGGAGCAGCGGGAGGAGACCCUGCGUGACUCUGCGUGUUCUGCAGGGCUGUUCCUCACAGCCUGCCACUGACAGACGUUUUGGGGCACUGCAGAGCCUGUUGGUGCAGAGGAAUUAAAGCGG
This 222-nucleotide long non-coding RNA is filed under the name Gallus gallus (chicken). Lineage: Eukaryota; Metazoa; Chordata; Aves; Galliformes; Phasianidae. The record is from RNAcentral.